Molecule: ribosomal RNA, 497 nt
Filed under: uncultured bacterium
Lineage: Bacteria
Description: partial 16S ribosomal RNA
Rfam family: Bacterial small subunit ribosomal RNA
Source: RNAcentral
GAUGAACGCUGGCGGCGUGCCUAAUACAUGCAAGUCGAGCGAACAGACGAGGAGCUUGCGGCUCGGACGUUAGCGGAGGACGGGUGAAUAACACGUGUAUAACCUACCUAUAAGACGGAUAUAACUUCGGGAAACGGGAGCUAAUACCGUAGAAUAUCUUGAACCGCAUGGUGCAAUGGUGAAAUACGGUGUUGCGGUCACGUCUAGAGGCAUCCGGGCUGUAUUGUCUGGUUGGUAAGUUAACGGCUUACUAAGGCUACGAGGCGUAGACGAGGUGAGAGGGUGAUAGGCGACCUUGGAACUGAGACAGCGUCCAGACUACUACGGGAGGCAGCAGUCGGCAAUGUUAGGCAACGGGGGAAAGCCUGACGGAGUAGGGGGGCGUGAGUGAUGAAGGUCCUGGGAUCGUAAAACUGUGUUACUAGGGAAGAACAGCUGUGUCCGUAACCGUGGAGAGAGUGACGGUAACUAAUCAGAAAGCCCCGGCUAACUACGUG